Molecule: ribosomal RNA, 305 nt
Filed under: uncultured bacterium
Lineage: Bacteria
Description: bacterial SSU rRNA
Rfam family: Bacterial small subunit ribosomal RNA
Source: RNAcentral
CCUACGGGGCGCAGCAGUGAGGAAUAUUGGUCAAUGGGCGGGAGCCUGAACCAGCCACGUCGCGUGAGGGAAGACGGUCCUACGGAUUGUAAACCUCUUUUGCCGGGGAGCAACGGGGUCCUUGCGAGGUCCCAAUGAGAGUACCCGGAGAAAAAGCAUCGGCUAACUCCGUGCCAGCAGCCGCGGUAAUACGGAGGAUGCGAGCGUUAUCCGGAUUUAUUGGGUUUAAAGGGUGCGUAGGCGGGACGGUAAGUCAGCGGUAAAAAUGCGGAGCUCAACUCCGUCGAGCCGUUAAAACUGCCGUU